RNAcentral lists this ribosomal RNA (848 nucleotides) under uncultured bacterium. RNAcentral describes it as "bacterial SSU rRNA". It matches the Rfam family "Bacterial small subunit ribosomal RNA", at positions 33 to 886 of the family's 1533-position model. The record is from RNAcentral.
ACGCUGGCGGUGCGCCUUAUGCAUGCAAGUCGAGCGAAGCUUUUCAGUAGUUUACUACAGAAAAUGACUGAGCGGCGAACGGGUGAGUAACGCGUGAGCAAUCUACCUUAGUUACUGGGAUAGCCCGAGGAAACUCGGAUUAAUACCGGAUAAUCUUAUUAAAUCACAUGAUAUUUUAAGUAAAGGUCAGCCGAACUAAGAUGAGCUCGCGUUCUAUCAGCUUGUUGGUGGGGUAAAAGCCUACCAAGGCUACGACGGAUAGCUGGUCUGAGAGGACGAUCAGCCACACUGGGACUGAGACACGGCCCAGACUCCUACGGGAGGCUGCAGCAGGGAAUAUUGCGCAAUGAGCGAAAGCUUGACGCAGCGACACCGCGUGUGGGAUGACGGUUCUAGGAUUGUAAACCACUUUCAGGAGGGAAGAAAAUGACGGUACCUCCACAAGAAGCCCCGGCCAACUACGUGCCAGCAGCCGCGGUAAUACGUAGGGGGCGAGCGUUGUCCGGAUUUAUUGGGCGUAAAGAGCUCGUAGGCGGUUCAACAAGUCGGUCGUGAAAGUUCAGGGCUUAACCCUGAAAUGUCGAUCGAUACUGUUGUGACUAGGAUAUGGUAGAGGUGAGUGGAAUUCCGAGUGUAGCGGUGAAAUGCGUAGAUAUUCGGAGGAACACCAAUAGCGAAGGCAGCUCACUGGGCCACUAUCGACGCUGAGGAGCGAAAGCUAGGGGAGCAAACAGGAUUAGAUACCCUGGUAGUCCUAGCUGUAAACGAUGGAUACUAGAUGUAGGAAUUGGAUUGACGAUUUCUGUAUCGUAGCUAACGCGUUAAGUAUCCCGCCUGGGGAGUACGGU